GGGCCCGUAGCUCAGUUGGUUAGAGCCGUCGACUCAUAAUCGACUGGUCGCCGGUUCGAGUCCGGCCGGGCCCACCA
Molecule: transfer RNA, 77 nt
Filed under: Burkholderia ubonensis
Lineage: Bacteria; Pseudomonadati; Pseudomonadota; Betaproteobacteria; Burkholderiales; Burkholderiaceae
Description: tRNA-Met
Rfam family: tRNA
About the family: Transfer RNA (tRNA) molecules are approximately 80 nucleotides in length. Their secondary structure includes four short double-helical elements and three loops (D, anti-codon, and T loops).
Source: RNAcentral